This 48-nucleotide ribosomal RNA is filed under the name Ampelomyces sp. ATCC 201059. RNAcentral's name for it is "partial 18S ribosomal RNA". It matches the Rfam family "Eukaryotic small subunit ribosomal RNA", at positions 1783 to 1830 of the family's 1831-position model. The record is from RNAcentral. Lineage: Eukaryota; Fungi; Ascomycota; Dothideomycetes; Pleosporales; Phaeosphaeriaceae. RNAcentral also lists the same sequence under 8 other names.
UAAAAGUCGUAACAAGGUUUCCGUAGGUGAACCUGCGGAAGGAUCAUU